CUGGAAAUGAACUCCCCUUGUUCUUCCUUAAAUUCGAACCACCACCACCACCACCGGCAUCCACUGCUACCACCGUCCACCAUCACCACCUUAUCCCGCCGAUAACCACCAACAACCACGUCCACCCAACCACCGCCCAGAACCACCCCUUUCGUACUCGUUCUCCCUCACAUUCCCCCUCUCCUGAUUUGCACUCUCACCCCCCUCCCCUCGCUGAACCACCGCGCAGACCACCCCUCCUAGACCCAUCUCCGCCUCCACAUUCCCCGGAGAACCACCCCUACCUCCUCCCGGAACCGCCCAGCUCACCCAAACUCCCCUACUUUUCCGCCCCUUUUUCGUCCUCCCUCUCCUUCGCGACGCGCCGCCCUACGGCCACCACCACCUCUGUCUCCCUAUCGUCACGCUCCGGCGCGGUCUCGCGCUGCUGCGACACCCAGGCCGCCGCCCUGCCGAGCCCAGCCAUCCCUGCCUCCCUUCCUCUCCUUCCCUGUUUCGCACCCCUUUCCCUCUUUGGUCGACUUUCCAGAAACCAAAAACCCAAUUCAUGACUCUUGCUUCCUUGCUCUAAUAAACCCAACAAAAGGCUGGCCCAAUACUAUUAUUUGGGCUUUGAAAUCGGACUUGGAGCUCAGGAAGAACGAUCCAUCAAAACAGGAAGUAUAAAACUACAGUUGAGGUACUGCGGGGAACGAUGGACACGAGUAGUGGCGAGGAAUUUCACUUUAAUAUUAUUCACCUAGUUUAUGCUUAAUGCUUUGAUAGUUUAAUUAAAGACUUUUAGUAAGUUGUGUGCUUAUAUUUUGGGGAAUAUAAAGGAUUAUUAUAUUAAAUUGGAGGUUUUUAUGGCUUAUGUAUGAUGUUGCCUUGUAAUUUCCGAGAGGGAAUUACGGCAGGUAA
Long non-coding RNA from Spinacia oleracea (spinach), 900 nucleotides. RefSeq lists it as uncharacterized. The transcript has 3 exons. The record is from RefSeq and is a predicted model, not a curated record. NCBI's taxonomy places the organism in Eukaryota, Viridiplantae, Streptophyta, Magnoliopsida, Caryophyllales, Amaranthaceae.